RNAcentral lists this long non-coding RNA (789 nucleotides) under Calidris pugnax (ruff). Its description in RNAcentral is "lncRNA (ENSCPUG00000012764.1)". The record is from RNAcentral. Lineage: Eukaryota; Metazoa; Chordata; Aves; Charadriiformes; Scolopacidae.
AUCUCUGGAAUCGAGACUAGAGAAAUUUGCUAUUUUUUUUGGAACAGGUCAUAUUUUCUGCAACUUCUAUUCUGGUCUGCUUUCUUCCUGUCAUCAUCUCCUUGGUCUCAAGAAAGGCUGCCUGACUUGUUUAUGUAAACCUGAUGACAGAAUUUGGACAAACAGGAAGGUAAAUAAGACUUUGUGUAAAACAUCAGCUGUUGAAAUGGAUGAAGACCUUAACAAUUCUUAAUUAUGGAAGAUGUAUUUGUCAUUGUUAUUGCUAAAAGCUGGUUACAGAAAAAUAGAAAACAUAAAGAAGAUUUACUUUAUUUUGGACAAAGGAAACUGUAAAGCAACCGCAAAGCAAUUGUUAACAAAAAGUCCUUUUAUGCCACCAUUGUAACUUUGUUCAAAAUUACAUUUUGUUUGAUACUUUGAAAAAAAAAAGGACAAAAUACCUUCAUGAAGGCUGCUACAAAUCAGAGUAGCUCAUUUGCAGUUGAUGAAGUUGCAGCAAUGGGAUUUGCUUCUGGACCUUUUGGCAAAAGGGAUUUGACAGGUUUCGUUCAUCAGGAAACUUUUCAAAUUCAGAACCAAGAAGAAGAGACAGCUGCAGAAGAGCAUGUGACUGAUCAAACAACCCCCUGGGUAGGACACAAGCCCAUCCAAGGCCCUGCUGUGGAUUAUUGCUGUGAAGAAUCUUUCCAGCCUCAAAAACCAGGUUGACUGCAGAGAACUCUGUGCUUUCACUGGAUAUUGCAGGACAGACACUUUGCACACCUCUGUUUUUCCAUGUGGACACCACCG